GGAUGUGAGGGCGAUCUGGCUGCGACAUCUGUCACCCCAUUGAUCGCCAGGGUUGAUUCGGCUGAUCUGGCUGGCUUAGGCGGGUGUCCCCUUCCUCCCUCACCGCUCCAUGUGCGUCCCUCCCGAAGCUGCGCGCUCGGUCGAAGAGGACGACCAUCCCCGAUAGAGGAGAGGACCAUUCUUCGGUCAAGGGUAUACGAGUAGCUGCGCUCCCCUGCUAGAACCUCCAAACAAGCUCUCAAGACAUGAGGUUUAUUUUUCCAGUGCCACCAUUCAAACUAUUACAGAUGGAGAUACUUGAAAGGUUUUAAAAUUACACGUGAUUCACAAAAAAUAGCAUCUCUUCUUU
RNAcentral lists this small nuclear RNA (349 nucleotides) under Neogale vison (American mink). RNAcentral describes it as "Neovison vison (American mink) 7SK RNA (ENSNVIG00000016893.1)". The stretch from base 1 to 307 matches the Rfam family "7SK RNA". Rfam says of the family: 7SK was discovered as an abundant small nuclear RNA in the mid-70s but a possible function has only recently been suggested. Two independent studies have found that 7SK RNA binds the CDK9/cyclin T complex (known as elongation factor P-TEFb). The record is from Rfam by way of RNAcentral. Lineage: Eukaryota; Metazoa; Chordata; Mammalia; Carnivora; Mustelidae.